UACCCCUAGCAAUCUCAAAAAACCGAUCGUAGUCCAGAUUGGAGUCUGCAACUCGACUCCAUGAAGUCGGAAUCGCUAGUAAUCGCGGAUCAGAAUGCCGCGGUGAAUACGUUCCCGGGCCUUGUACACACCGCCCGUCACACCAUGGGAGUCUAUUGCACCAGAAGUAGCUAGCUUAACCUUCGGGAGGGCGGUUACCACGGUGUGGUCAGCGACUGGGGUGAAG
RNAcentral lists this ribosomal RNA (226 nucleotides) under uncultured Nitrobacter sp. RNAcentral's name for it is "partial 16S ribosomal RNA". It matches the Rfam family "Bacterial small subunit ribosomal RNA", at positions 1259 to 1485 of the family's 1533-position model. Lineage: Bacteria; Pseudomonadati; Pseudomonadota; Alphaproteobacteria; Hyphomicrobiales; Nitrobacteraceae. The record is from RNAcentral.